AACAAACGCUGGCGGCGUGCCUAAUACAUGCAAGUCGAACGGGGAAAGUAGCAAUAUGCGUACUAGUGGCGCACGGGUGAGUAACGCGUGGAUAAUCUGCCUUGAAGAGGGGGAUAACUAGUCGAAAGAUUAGCUAAUACCGCAUAAGACCACAAGAACUGAGGUUCAAGGGGUCAAAGGUUUUUCGCUUCAAGAUGAGUCCGCGUAAGAUUAGCUAGUUGGUGAGGUAAUGGCUCACCAAGGCAACGAUCUUUAACUGGUCUGAGAGGAUGAUCAGUCACACUGGAACUGAGACACGGUCCAGGCUCCUACGGGAGGCAGCAGUAGAGAAUAUUGCACAAUGGAGGAAACUCUGAUGCAGCGACGCCGCGUGAGUGAUGAAGGCCUUCGGGUCGUAAAGCUCUGUCGCAGGGGAAUAACACAAUGAAUGUACCCUGUAAGAAAGGAUCGGCUAACUUCGUG
Molecule: ribosomal RNA, 462 nt
Filed under: uncultured bacterium
Lineage: Bacteria
Description: partial 16S ribosomal RNA
Rfam family: Bacterial small subunit ribosomal RNA
Source: RNAcentral